This 310-nucleotide ribosomal RNA is filed under the name Hemiselmis virescens. RNAcentral describes it as "partial Bacterial large subunit ribosomal RNA". It matches the Rfam family "Bacterial large subunit ribosomal RNA", at positions 2614 to 2925 of the family's 2925-position model. Lineage: Eukaryota; Cryptophyceae; Cryptomonadales; Hemiselmidaceae. The record is from RNAcentral.
GAACGUCGUGAGACAGUUCGGUCCAUAUCCGGUGCAGGCGUUAGAGUAUUGAGAGGAGUCCCCCUUAGUACGAGAGGACCGGGGGGAAUACACCGCUGGUGUACCAGUUAUCGUGCCAACGGUAAACGCUGGGUAGCCAAGUGUAGAGUGGAUAACUGCUGAAAGCAUCUAAGUAGGAAGCCCACCUCAAGAUGAAUACUCUCACCGUUUUAAACGGUUAAGAUCACGGGAAGAACACCCGUUAUAUAGGCACUAAGUGUAAGUACAGUAAUGUAUUCAGCUGAGGUGUACUAACAGAUCGAGGGCUUGA